Molecule: long non-coding RNA, 708 nt
Organism: Zingiber officinale
Lineage: Eukaryota; Viridiplantae; Streptophyta; Magnoliopsida; Zingiberales; Zingiberaceae
Exons: 3
Source: RefSeq, a predicted model, not a curated record
GAGCUUACUACAUUUGCAAUUCGAGUGCUUGGUCUCACUUGUAGUGCUUCGGGAUGUGAAAGAAAUUGGAGCACUUUUGAAUCGAUUCAUACAAAAAAGAGAAAUAGGCUUGAACAUGCAAAGUUGAAUGCGUUGGUGUUUGUGAAAUAUAACUUCAAGCUUAGGGAGAGAAGUAUUAGGAGGAGAGACAAGAUUGAUCCCAUUGUAGUUGAUGAAAUUAAUUCAGAUGAUGAAUGGAUAACUGAGAAAGAAGGUCCAGUUCUCCCCGCAACUACUAAAUGGCUUGAAGAUGAUGAAUUAUUUGAAAGUGAUCCUAUUGUGAGUGUGCCAUCUGCUACUUUUGAAAGUCUUUUCGACUCAGAUAAGCGAGUCGAAGAUGUUGAGGAUAUAGUUGAAGUUCCUCCUACGAAUUCAAAAAAAAGAGUUGCUGAAAAUUCAAGUGGAAGCAAAGACAAACAAGCAAGGUUGAGUCUUGUUGAUGUGGAAGAUAAUCAUCUUGAUGCUGAAAAUUAUGGAGUAAUUCCAACUUUUGAUAGUGGAAAUUUUCCAACCAUAGACACUAUUGAUGAUGAUAGUGAUAUAGAGUUGGAUGAUACUGAUUAUUUUUAAGUUAUGUUGUUUUAAUUAUAAGACUUUUUAAAUUGUUGGUAUGGGAUAUUUUGACAUGUAAUGAAUUAUUAUGAUUAAUUUUAGGUUAUGUUAUUUUUA